GACGAACGCUGGCGGCGUGCUUAACACAUGCAAGUCGAACGGAAAGGCCCUGCUUUUGUGGGGUGCUCGAGUGGCGAACGGGUGAGUAACACGUGAGUAACCUGCCCUUGACUUUGGGAUAACUUCAGGAAACUGGGGCUAAUACCGGAUAGGAGCUCCUGCUGCAUGGUGGGGGUUGGAAAGUUUCGGCGGUUGGGGAUGGACUCGCGGCUUAUCAGCUUGUUGGUGGGGUAGUGGCUUACCAAGGCUUUGACGGGUAGCCGGCCUGGGAGGGUGACCGGCCACAUUGGGACUGAGAUACGGCCCAGACUCCUACGGGAGGCAGCAGGGGGGAAUAUUGCACAAUGGGCGGAAGCCGGAUGCAGAAACGCCGCGUGCGGGAUGACGGCCUUCGGGUUGAAAACCGCUUUCGCCUGUGACGAAGCGUGAGUGACGGUAAGGGGUAAAGAAGCACCGGCUAACUACGUGC
RNAcentral lists this ribosomal RNA (469 nucleotides) under uncultured bacterium. Its description in RNAcentral is "partial 16S ribosomal RNA". It matches the Rfam family "Bacterial small subunit ribosomal RNA", at positions 28 to 508 of the family's 1533-position model. The record is from RNAcentral.